This 1479-nucleotide ribosomal RNA is filed under the name uncultured Bordetella sp. RNAcentral's name for it is "partial 16S-23S ribosomal RNA intergenic spacer". It matches the Rfam family "Bacterial small subunit ribosomal RNA". Lineage: Bacteria; Pseudomonadati; Pseudomonadota; Betaproteobacteria; Burkholderiales; Alcaligenaceae. The record is from RNAcentral.
AGUUCGAUUCUGGCUCAAAUUGAACGCUGGCGGAUGCUUUUACACAUGCAAGUCGAACGGGCAGCACGGACACCAGCCUGGUGGGUAGUGGCGGAACGGUGAGUAAUGUAUCGGAACGUGCCUUUAGUAGCGGGGGAUAACUACGCGGAAAGCGUAGCUAAUACCGCAUACGCGAUCUCAAAAAGCGGGGACCUUCGGGCCUCGCACUAUUAGAGCGGCCGAUAUCGAUUAGCUAUGGUGGGGUAACGGCUCACCAUAGCGACGAUCCGUAGCUGGUUUGAGAGGACGACCAGCCACACUGGGACCGAGACACGGCCCAGACUCCUACGGAGGCAGCAGUGGGGAAUUUUGGACAAUGGGGGAAACCCUGAUCCAGCCAUCCGGCGUGUGCGAUGAAGGCCUUCGGGUUGUAAAGCACUUUUGGCAGGAAGAAACGGCGGGGAUAAUACCCCGUGCAACUGACGGUACCUGCAGAAUAAGCACCGGCUAACUACGCCAGCAGUUUUCGUAAUACGUAGGUGUAAGCGUUAAUCGGAAUUACUGGGCGUAAAGCGUGCGGCAGGCGGUUCGGAAAGAAAGAUGUGAAAUCCCAGAGCUUAACUUUGGAACUGCAUUUUUAACUACCGAGCUAGAGUGUGUCAGAGUAGGGAAUCGCGUAGCAGUGAAAUGCGUAGAUAUGCGGAGGAACACCGACGGGCGAAGGCAGCCUCCUGGGAUAACACUGACGCUCAUGCACGAAAGCGUGGGGAGCAAACAGGAUUAGAUACCCUGGUAGUCCACGCCCUAAACGUAGAUGUCAACUAGCUGUUGGGGCUUUCGGGCCUUGGUAGCGCAGCUAACGCGUGAAGUUGACCGCCUGGGAGUACGGUCGCCAAGAUUAAAACUCAAAGAAUACCUGAUAAUCGCAUGGGGCGGUGAUGGAUGCGUGGAUUAAUUCGAUGCAACGCGAAAACCUUACCUACCCUUGACAUGUCUGGAAUCCCGAAGAGAGAUUUGGGAGUGCUCGCAAGAGAACCGAACACAGGUGCUGCAUGGCUGUCGUCAGCUCGUGUCGAGAUGCUGGUUAAGUCCCGCAACGAGCGCAACCCUUUACGUCAUUAGUUGCUACGAAAGGGCAGCUCCAAUGAGACUGCCGGUGACAAACCGAGGAAGGUGGGGAUGACGUCAAGUCCUCAUGGCCCUUAUGGGCAGGGUCAGGAUUGUCAUACAAUGGUCGGGACAGAGGGUCGCCAACCCGCGAGGGGGAGCCAAUCCCAGAAACCCGAUCGUAGUCCGGAUCGCAGUCUGCAACUCGACCGCGAAGUCGGAAUCGCUAGUAAUCGCGGAUCAGCAUGUCGCGGUGAAUACGUUCCCGGGUCUUGCGGUACACACCGCCCGUCACACCAUGGGAGUGGGUUUUACCAGAAGUAGUUAGCCCAACUUGUAAGGAGGGCGAUUACCACGGUAGGAUUCAUGAUCAGUGAAGUCGUAACAAGGUAA